Galeopterus variegatus (Sunda flying lemur) is the source of this 484-nucleotide long non-coding RNA. RefSeq lists it as uncharacterized. The transcript is spliced from 4 exons. NCBI's taxonomy places the organism in Eukaryota, Metazoa, Chordata, Mammalia, Dermoptera, Cynocephalidae. The record is from RefSeq and is a predicted model, not a curated record.
CCUUGUCUCUGCCUCCGUUUUCUUCUUCGCGCGGCUAACUGUCCUGCUCCAGGCUUGGCUGGUUGGACUGGGCGACCGUCGCAGAAACUGCCACCCCUUGUAAGGAACAAAUUGAACAUAGCACUGCAAAUCAAAGCAAGAUAAACAUUAAUAUGAAGGGGAGUGAUCAGAGAAGCCUUCUCGGAAGAGGUCUGAGGAUAGUGGUAGAAGUCACUGAUCUUCCGCCUAUAAAGAUCCCAAGAGGAGCAGUGGUUGGUCACCUUGUAGUAUUGAAACUGCUGAAAAAUGGGGAAGCAUCCAUCCAAAGUGAGACAUUGAUUUGUGGAAGAGUCGCAGGUACCUGAUUGGCCCUGACUCUCAGCAAGUUGAAUGUGAUAAUAUUUACAUCAUCUGAUCAAUGAUAUUCAGAGUUUGCUAGACACGCAGCAAAAUAACUAGGUCACAUAAAAUUUCAUUUAAGGUUUUAAUAAACUUUUUUAGCCAA